GAGAUUCUUAUGUGAUAGUGACAACUGCACCCUUGACCUUGCUGAAGGAGGGGAGGCAUGAAGCUAAUCAGAAAAUUUUCUCUAAUAAGCUUUCAUAGAAGAGUUUUCCAAAUAAAAUGAAGAGGGCUAUCAUGGCAUAUCAAGUUUCUCUAAUUUUCAGGAAACAAAGAUACUAAUUUGCUUUACUCUUAGGGAUUCUUAAAAGGCCUCUUUUCUAACUGCAUAUUUAGAAUAUAUAAUCAGAGGACCAACGUUCAAUAUCUUUUUUUGUGCCAUCACUUUAAAAAGUGCAGCCAUGCUCCCCACUUAACUAUCUGGAGUUGAGAAAUGAUCUGGGAGUUGGCCCAGAAAUAGUGUGAACAGCUAGAGCCAAUAUUGACAAAUCCUUAUUCUGCAACCCCACAAGUUUCUCUCCUAGGGCUAGGGGUAAGAAUGCAGCAGUGAACAUGGUUCCUGCACUCAUGAAGCAAAUGUAUCCACUGUGGUACAAAAGAGACUGUAAAAAACAAACCCAAAUGGACAACAGAGUUCUGAACCAUCCUGUGACAAGUCUAGUUACCCUAAAGCUGUCAUGCAGGAGAGACCAUGUGGAGAGAAGGAGAGUUAGAGAGAGGAGGAGCCCCUGCUGUUUGAGUAUUCUCAGCCCAGACACCAGACAUGAGUGAGGAAGCAUUCAGACCCCAACUCCAGUUUAAAAACGCCACCACUCAACAGCCUGUUUUCUGAGCCUAUGACCACAUAUAUGCUGCAGAACCCUUUCAGGGUGUAUCUGAAACUACUUCUCUUAAAGGCAAGCUGUAACUGGUGCCAGUGAGUACUACUAUCUUUUAUUUAAAUUAAAAACAAAUUUAACAUCACUUAGUCUUUAUAAGAAUGAGAAAGUCCAGAUAAGUAUAAAGAAGAAAAUUUAAAAAUCUAAAUGGUCGGGGUGUUUGGGGGAGCAGAAGAGGAAGAUAGAAGAUUGUAUCUCUCUAUCUUCUUGUCUUGGCUUCUGAACCCGAGAUGUUUUUUAUUAUUGCAGGAAAAGACAGAAGCUGAUUGAGGUCCCAGCUUGGUAACAGUUUGAAGAGUUGCAGGACUGGCUGGAUGAGUACUGGCUGCAGCAAAUCAGGCUGCCAGGAUUCUUUAUGGCUGUUUCUGCUUCCACUACAGCUGAGUCAGAAAGGUCGCUGCCCCGUGGUGGCACUAGACGCAGUGGACCUGGCAAGCAAAUGUUUCCGCUAUUAGCUCUCAGCAACAGAGACUCAUUUAUGGUCACCUUGGAAAUCUGGGCUUAUCGAUCUACAGCCCAAGUCUGCUGAGAAGCUGGAGCUUACUAAAGGGGAAACCUGAGAGCUGUUCAAGCCCCAAAUAUUUUCCACUUCUGCGUCACCUCUGCUGUCUGUUAGCAGAGUGGAGGAGAAAAUACACAGCACAAACAACGUGAAAAAAUAGUUACUCUAUUCAUUAAAAGCUGUAACUUCCAGAUUGGACUUGAGAAGCAAUUAAGCAACAGAGGAACCUCAUCUACUAUCUGUAUUCAGGGUAUGAUUUACAUACCGUAACAUUCACCCAUUUUAUGUUUAGAGUUUGAUGAGUUUUAGUAAUUUACACAGUUGUGCACCAUCAGCACACUCUCACCCACGACUUCUGAUCUCUGUAGAAUGAAGUGGAGGGCAGGCCAUCUGUUGUGUUUGCACAUAGAGAUGAAUAAUGAGCAGCAGUACUGUUUUGUCUGUAGCCUUGUCCUACUGAUAUUGGGACUUCAUCCUUCCACAUAUGUAGCACAGUGCCUGGCACAAAGUAGGAGCUCAAUAACUGCUGAAUGAAUGGAUGAACUGACGUCUAUAGUUGGUUCAAGGUGCAGCAGUUUGAGCAUGUUUGCUUUUUUUUUUGUUCUCACAUAAUUUUAUUGAGAUUUACAACUUCUUUUUUUGCCAUUAAAAUUUUAUUUUAUUAUUUAUUUAUUUAUUUAUUUUUUGGGAGGAAGCAGACGGCAAAAGUGGUAAAUGAUGAUAAGGAUGGCCUAAGAGAUUAAGCCCUCAGGGAAGGAGGGAGAGGUAAUAGGGAGAAAUGUGAAAGGGAGGAAAUUAAGCAAUCUUUGCAGGCUCUCCACUCAAAGUUUGGUCCAGUGUAGCAGCAGCAGCAUCACCUGGGGGCCUGUUAGAAAUGCAGUGCUUCAGGACCAACCCCAGACCUACUGAAUCAGA
This 2189-nucleotide long non-coding RNA is filed under the name Homo sapiens (human). Its description in RNAcentral is "HSALNT0350815". Lineage: Eukaryota; Metazoa; Chordata; Mammalia; Primates; Hominidae. The record is from RNAcentral.